RNAcentral lists this ribosomal RNA (462 nucleotides) under uncultured bacterium. Its description in RNAcentral is "bacterial SSU rRNA". It matches the Rfam family "Bacterial small subunit ribosomal RNA", at positions 53 to 507 of the family's 1533-position model. The record is from RNAcentral.
ACAUGGCAAGUCGAACGGCAGCACGGGAGCUUGCUCCUGGUGGCGAGUGGCGAACGGGUGAGUAAUACAUCGAACGUACCCUGAAGUGGGGGAUAACGUAGCGAAAGUUACGCUAAUACCGCAUAUUCUGUGAGCAGGAAAGAGGGGGAUCGCAAGACCUCUUGCUUUUAGGAGCGGCCGAUGUCGGAUUAGCUAGUUGGUGAGGUAAAGGCUCACCAAGGCGACGAUCCGUAGCGGGUCUGAGAGGAUGAUCCGCCACACUGGGGACUGAGACACGGCCCAGACUCCUACGGGAGGCAGCAGUGGGAAUUUUGGACAAUGGGCGCAAGCCUGAUCCAGCCAUGCCGCGUGAGUGAAGAAGGCCUUCGGGUUGUAAAGCUCUUUCGGUGGGGAAGAAAUUGCUUCGGUUAAUACCUGGAGUAGAUGACGGUACCCGCAUAAGAAGCACCGGCUAACUACGUG